AUUGCUUCUCGGUCUUUUGGCUAAAAUCAAGUGUGGUAUCUCUUUUUAUCAGUUUAAUAUCUGAUAUGUCCUCUAUCCAAGGGCAUUAUAUUAAACUAGAGGCCUGAUGCACAAAAU
This 117-nucleotide small nuclear RNA is filed under the name Myotis davidii. RNAcentral describes it as "U2 spliceosomal RNA". It matches the Rfam family "U2 spliceosomal RNA". From Rfam's summary of the family: U2 is a small nuclear RNA (snRNA) component of the spliceosome (involved in pre-mRNA splicing). Lineage: Eukaryota; Metazoa; Chordata; Mammalia; Chiroptera; Vespertilionidae. The record is from Rfam by way of RNAcentral.